AGCAGCCGCGGUAAUUCCAGCUCCAAUAGCGUAUAUUAAAGUUGUUGCAGUUAAAAAGCUCGUAGUUGAAUUUCGGGGUUAGUAGGUUGGUCAUGCCUCUGGUAUGUACUGGUCUCACUGAUUCCUCCUUCCUGAUGAGCCGUAAUGCCAUUAAUUUGGUGUUGCGGGGAAUUUGGACUGUUACUUUGAAAAAAUUAGAGUGUUUAAAGCAGGCUAACGCUUGAAUACAUUAGCAUGGAAUAAUGAAAUAGGACGUUCGAUCCUAUUUUGUUGGUUUCUAGGAUUGACGUAAUGAUUAAUAGGGAUAGUUGGGGGCAUUAGUAUUCAAUUGUCAGAGGUGAAAUUCUUGGAUUUAUUGAAGACUAACUACUGCGAAAGCAUUUGCCAAGGAUGUUUUCAUUAAUCAAGAACGAAAGUUAGGGGAUCGAAGACGAUCAGAUACCGUCGUAGUCUUAACCAUAAACUAUGCCGACUAGGGAUCGGAUGAUGUUAAUUUUUUAAUGACUCA
This 508-nucleotide ribosomal RNA is filed under the name uncultured Glomus. RNAcentral describes it as "SSU rRNA". It matches the Rfam family "Eukaryotic small subunit ribosomal RNA", at positions 569 to 1078 of the family's 1831-position model. The record is from RNAcentral. Lineage: Eukaryota; Fungi; Glomeromycota; Glomeromycetes; Glomerales; Glomeraceae.